Molecule: ribosomal RNA, 460 nt
Filed under: uncultured bacterium
Lineage: Bacteria
Description: partial 16S ribosomal RNA
Rfam family: Bacterial small subunit ribosomal RNA
Source: RNAcentral
CCUACGGGUGGCAGCAGUGGGGAAUAUUGCUCAAUGGACGAAACUCUGAACCAGCCAAGCAGCGUGGAGGAUGACUGCCCUCUGGGUGGUAAACUUUUUUUAUAGGGGAAUAAAAUGUUGCACGUGUGGGAUUUUGUAUGUACCAUAUGAAUAAGGAUCGGCUAACUCCGUGCCAGCAGCCGCGGUAAUACGGAGGAUCCGAGCGUUAUACGGAUUUAGUGGGGUUAAAGGGAGCGUAGGUGGAUUGUUAAGUCAGUUGUGAAAGUUUGCGGCUCAACCGUAAAAUUGCAGUUGAAACUGGCAGUCUUGAGUACAGUAGAGGUGGGUGGAAUUCGUGGUGUAGGGGUGAAAUGCGUAGAUAUCACGAAGAAUUCUGAUUGCGAAGGCAGUUCACUGGACUGCAACUGACACUGAGGCUCGAAAGUGUGGGUAUCAAACAGGAUUAGAUACCCCAGUAGUC